This is a long non-coding RNA of Erinaceus europaeus (western European hedgehog), 228 nucleotides long. RefSeq lists it as uncharacterized. The transcript has 3 exons. The record is from RefSeq and is a predicted model, not a curated record. NCBI's taxonomy places the organism in Eukaryota, Metazoa, Chordata, Mammalia, Eulipotyphla, Erinaceidae.
UGGGUCACUGUGGACUUGAUUAGCAACAUUCAGAAUGAGAUUCUGGGCAUCCAGAACACCUCCCGAAAGCAGGUGGAAGACAUCACUGAUGCGAAUUCCAGUCUGGAAGAAACCACAGAGCCACCUGCAGAUGGCAAACAUCUGCAGGAGCAUGAAGUGGGCCAAAUGCCAGCCACUGAGGAGCUUCCACAGGAAGCACAGGAGUCCCCCAGCCUCGCAUGUGAAGAC